GUGGCUGCCCCAGGGCGCGGGGGGCCAAGGGGGACCGGGGGGACCCAGCACGGCCACCCCCGGGUGGGCUCGGAGCGGGAGGUGCGAGGCUCUUCGCAGUUGGCGUCAGGCCCUUGGUGGGCCUCGACUGUCCCCAUGGCGGCCACAGGGCCCAGGAGCUCAUGGCAUGGCCGCCGGGCCGGGCUGUGGCGGUGAGGGGCGGUGGUGACCUGCUGUGGCACUGUGGGCCUCACCGCGCCUCACACACCGCCAGGCCCAGGCUCUCUGGUGUGUCAGGCCAUGACAUGGUGCUCCUGCCUUAGCGCCACCAGGCCAGAGCACCCAGCACGCACCAGGUGGUGUGUCACCUCCAUGAUCGCCCACCUCGGGACACCCUGCCGUGACCCAGCACCGACAGCGGGGCUGCCCCGUGGAAUGGAUCCAGUGAGUGGUGUGGGACAGACCAGGAUUGUGGCGACUUCCCUUCAGGAACACUCCAGAAGUUGCCAGGUUGGACUCACCGCCUUCCCGUUGGAGAGGCCCAAGUCCGUUCACUUUUAAUUACGUACUGCCGUGGUGUCUAGAAGCGCUUCCUUCCUGUGCUGAGUCUACUGCGCGGGGGUUUUGAAGGCAACGUGGAGUAUAUUUGAAGGACGUUGGGUCUGUUCUCUUCAUUGGAAUCAGCCUGAGAAUAUAGCCCAAUCUGGUUUCUGUUUGUUGUGCCUCUGCUGUAUCAGUCAUGAAUGAACCAUUAUGUAAUUUUUUAGUUAAUUUAACAUUUGUUGGUACAACUGUAAAACAGCCAUGUUUUUCAUGUUGGAAGGGAUGGUUUAUAUUUGACCACAUUUUUCCUCAUCUGGUGUUGAUCAAAAGUUCAUAUAAGGGUUCUUUCUACAGACUCUGAGGACUUAGUCCCAUGAAGAUUUGCAUAUCUCUUUAACCUGAAAUACCUGAGAGGUCACGUUUUGGUUGCAAAAAUCAGUGUAACCUUUCAAGGUUAAAGCCUAAAUAUUUAAAGCUUUGUAAUGUUGCCUGUCAUUUUCAUGCUUUCCAAUAAUUAAGACACUCAAAACAUGAGCAAGGCAUAGGCCUAUUAAGAAAAAAUUUGAAACUAUGCGUAAGAUACAGAUUGUUGCCUUUUUGUUGUGCACAAUGUCAAACAUUACCAGCACCCACAAGCAGUCGAUAAGAACAAUGUGUUCCUUUCUCCUUACUACUCAAAUAAUCAAACUGCUAAUUAAAACUUUGUCUUAAAGAGAAA
Molecule: long non-coding RNA, 1240 nt
Organism: Calidris pugnax (ruff)
Lineage: Eukaryota; Metazoa; Chordata; Aves; Charadriiformes; Scolopacidae
Exons: 2
Source: RefSeq, a predicted model, not a curated record